Molecule: non-coding RNA, 114 nt
Organism: Acanthosepion pharaonis
Lineage: Eukaryota; Metazoa; Mollusca; Cephalopoda; Sepiida; Sepiidae
Source: the annotation of a GenBank genome assembly
UUACGGCCAUAUUACAUUGAAACACCGGUCCUCGUACGAUUAUCGAAGUUAAGCAAUGUCGAGCAUGGUCAGUACCUAGAUGGGUGACCGCUUGUGAAAAGCAGUUGCUGUAAG